Molecule: small nuclear RNA, 128 nt
Organism: Tachyglossus aculeatus (Australian echidna)
Lineage: Eukaryota; Metazoa; Chordata; Mammalia; Monotremata; Tachyglossidae
Source: RefSeq, a predicted model, not a curated record
CUCAAUAAUGAAAGGAGAAAAGGUUAACACAUCCCGUGAGAAAGAGAGAUGGAGUCCUAGUGGCUGUUUUGACACGUAUAUGGUUAAGGCAUUGCCACCUACUCCGUGGCAUCUAACCAAGCUUUUCU